UACGAAGGGGGCUAGCGUUGUUCGGAAUUACUGGGCGUAAAGGGUGCGUAGGUGGUUUUUUAAGUCCGUUGUGAAAUCCCUGGGCUCAACCUGGGAAUGGCAGUGGAUACUGGAAAGCUAGAGUGCGGUAGAGGGUAGUGGAAUUCCCGGUGUAGCAGUGAAAUGCGUAGAGAUCGGGAGGAACACCAGUGGCGAAGGCGGCUACCUGGACCAGCACUGACACUGAAGCACGAAAGCGUGGGGAGCAAACAGG
This 253-nucleotide ribosomal RNA is filed under the name uncultured bacterium. RNAcentral describes it as "partial 16S ribosomal RNA". It matches the Rfam family "Bacterial small subunit ribosomal RNA", at positions 524 to 776 of the family's 1533-position model. The record is from RNAcentral.